This 484-nucleotide ribosomal RNA is filed under the name uncultured bacterium. RNAcentral describes it as "partial 16S ribosomal RNA". It matches the Rfam family "Bacterial small subunit ribosomal RNA", at positions 30 to 507 of the family's 1533-position model. The record is from RNAcentral.
AUUGAACGCUGGCGGCAGGCCUAACACAUGCAAGUCGAGCGGAUGAAGGGAGCUUGCUCCUGGAUUCAGCGGCGGACGGGUGAGUAAUGCCUAGGAAUCUGCCUGGUAGUGGGGGAUAACGUCCGGAAACGGGCGCUAAUACCGCAUACGUCCUGAGGGAGAAAGUGGGGGAUCUUCGGACCUCACGCUAUCAGAUGAGCCUAGGUCGGACUAGCUAGUUGGUGGGGUAAAGGCCUACCAAGGCGACGAUCCGUAACUGGUCUGAGAGGAUGAUCAGUCACACUGGAACUGAGACACGGUCCAGACUCCUACGGGAGGCAGCAGUGGGGAAUAUUGGCCAAUGGGCGAAAGCCUGAUCCAGCCAUGCCGCGUGUGUGAAGAAGGUCUUCGGAUUGUAAAGCACUUUAAGUUGGGAGGAAGGGCAGUACGUUAAUACCUUGCUGUUUUGACGUUACCAACAGAAUAAGCCCCGGCUACCUUCGUG